RNAcentral lists this ribosomal RNA (492 nucleotides) under uncultured bacterium. RNAcentral's name for it is "partial 16S ribosomal RNA". It matches the Rfam family "Bacterial small subunit ribosomal RNA", at positions 29 to 507 of the family's 1533-position model. The record is from RNAcentral.
AGUGAACGCUGGCGGUAGGCCUAACACAUGCCAGUCGAACGGCAGCACAGUAAGAGCUUGCUCUUACGGGUGGCGAGUGGCGGACGGGUGAGGAAUACAUCGGAAUCUACUUUUUCGUGGGGGAUAACGUAGGGAAACUUACGCUAAUACCGCAUACGACCUACGGGUGAAAGCAGGGGAUCUUCGGACCUUGCGCGAUUGAAUGAGCCGAUGUCGGAUUAGCUAGUUGGCGGGGUAAAGGCCCAUCAAGGCGACGAUCCGUAGCUGGUCUGAGAGGAUGAUCAGCCACACUGGAACUGAGACACGGUCCAGACUCCUACGGGAGGCAGCAGUGGGGAAUAUUGGACAAUGGGCGCAAGCCUGAUCCAGCCAUACCGCGUGGGUGAAGAAGGCCUUCGGGUUGUAAAGCCCUUUUGUUGGGAAAGAAAAGCAGCAGGUUAAUACCCCGCUGUUCUGACGGUACCCAAAGAAUAAGCACCGGCUAACUUCGUG